RNAcentral lists this ribosomal RNA (253 nucleotides) under uncultured bacterium. RNAcentral describes it as "partial 16S ribosomal RNA". It matches the Rfam family "Bacterial small subunit ribosomal RNA", at positions 524 to 776 of the family's 1533-position model. The record is from RNAcentral.
UACGUAGGGACCAAGCGUUGUUCGGAUUUACUGGGCGUAAAGGGCGCGUAGGCGGCGUGGUAAGUCACUUGUGAAAUCUCUGAGCUUAACUCAGAACGGCCAAGUGAUACUGCUGUGCUAGAGUGCAGAAGGGGCAAUCGGAAUUCUUGGUGUAGCGGUGAAAUGCGUAGAUAUCAAGAGGAACACCUGAGGUGAAGACGGGUUGCUGGGCUGACACUGACGCUGAGGAGCGAAAGCGUGGGGAGCGAACAGG